This 13191-nucleotide long non-coding RNA is filed under the name Homo sapiens (human). RNAcentral describes it as "non-protein coding lnc-AKAP12-1:1". The record is from RNAcentral. Lineage: Eukaryota; Metazoa; Chordata; Mammalia; Primates; Hominidae.
UCGGUGUCUCCGGCGCGGCGGCGGCGGCGGCGGCGGGGCUUUUCCUGUCCGGUUACGUUAAGGUCACAUGACCGAGAGAGCGGAGAGACUAGUGCAAAGAGGCUGCGAGCGGCUCCCGCCGGGGGGGAGAGGCGGCGAGAGAGCAGUGGCGGCAAGAGCCCCCUCCGCCCCCCCCCCAGCCGCUCCCCUCCCCCCGCCCGCCUCCGCCUCCUGCUGCUCUGCCGCCGCCGCCGCCGCCUGCAGCACUCCACUGCCGCUCCCACCCAGGCUCCGCGCUCUGCUCCAGCCAAACUUCUGCAGACCAUGUGCAGCCGAGGCGAGGAAACUUCUCUCCACCUAUUGGGGCUGGAGGCCUGAGUCACAAGCCCCUUGUUUACAUAAAGUGUUUAGGUAGCACAAGUCCUUGAGAUGCUCGGGGUAGAGAUGGAGAGCCACUGCUCGUAUCCUUCUGCCGGCUUCUGCUUGAGAUCUCUUGGCCUUUACCCUUGUCCCUUGACUUUUCGUGUUUGUUUUAAUCUUUAAGACUUGAAAUGGAGUGGCCUUUAGAACCGGGGAGAUACUGUAAACCAGCAGUAUCUUUGUGUCACCAAUGGUAACUGAAAGUCAUGCUGAAGUACAGAUUCCUGUAGCGUGCACAGAGGCAGAGGUGCUUCCUUUACCUUGCAGAUGAGUUGAGCGGCGUAAGAUGUUUCUGUUAGGGUUGAAUUUCAUGGUUAUUUCAGCAACGAUUUUCGUUUUUGAAGUUUUGGCCCCCCCAAAAAUGAAAGUCUGCAACGCAUGUUUGUUAAGAGAACAGUUUAUUCUCCUGUUAGGUUUUGGUCUUUGAGGUAUGGAUUCCAGAGUUGGCUAUUCUGUUAGAUUUAGAGGUGUGGAAAAUCUUUUAACGGGGAGAUCCUGAAACACGGAAACAUGGCAGGGAAGUUAGAAUUUCCUGAUGGUCAUUUUUAACAUUUUAAAGUUUACUUUUUGGUUGUUGCCAUUUUUCUAGAAUCCGUGUCUUUUUUGGGGAAAUACAGUCCUUUGAGGACUAGAAUUUAAUGAUUUCUUUACACAUCUAGGAUUUUUUGAGAUUUAGAAAGGAUAUGGCUUUAUUCCUAAGGAAGUGGAGGCAGCAGUUUCUAGGAUACUCUGGUUUCAAGGCAUGCUAACUUGGUUGUGAUGUCUAACCCAUUUUGGUUUACACAGUCUGACCACUAGCACAAUGCCUGGCACAUAGUUUACAAAUCAUUUAAGGCAAGCUUACCAUCUUAAGACAAUUUAAUACAUAGAAGUGUCCCUCCUAAAAAUCUGAGUUUGAUUUAGAAAUCCAGUUAUACCUGCAGGUACUGAUGACUAAUUCCUUCUUUGAAGACAAAAUAAGCAGCUGUGUAGCUUCAGUGGCUCUCAAAUGGAUAAUAGAUUCAGUGUAUACUCGCUUUGAACUUUCCUGUUUUUUGAUCAGCUAGAUAAAUGACUUUAGUGGGUAAAUGUCUGCCUCCAAAACCAAAUUCUGACCCUGAUCUAAGUAUUCUACUGCACCGCUGUCACUGGAAUAUCAAAGUUGGCCUUCAGACUGGUGCCUGGUUCCUUGGAUUGGCUUGAGUAUUGAGGUCUGUCUCAUCUUACUAGGGAACUAAAAUGAUGUUGAUUGUUUUGUAGAGAAUUGUAAUUAGAGAUCUGUAGGUUCUUAAUUCUUUUGGAAUUCCAUUCUGAAAAUUUUCAACCUUAUGGUGUUGGUGGAGUGCUCAUGUGAAGAGUGAAACUGACUUAAGAAUAAAAGAAAAAGUGGGCAAAACUAAUGCUAAACUUGAGACCAUUGGGCAGAAAUUUGCCUGUGUGUGUAGAGUAAUUGGUCUUGAGUCAAAGUAACUAUGCUUAUUUUUAACAUCACUGAAUAUUUUCUAGCGUUACACUCUAUAUAGGCUUGUAGAAAUAAACCCAGGGGUAAGCCCAGAAAUUGAAUAUCAGUCCUAAAGAAAGCCUAUCAAGAGCAUCCUAUUCUCUUUAAGAGCUGCUAUUCGAAUUUAGGACUGGGCUGGUUUGCUGCUCAUUCUCUCGAGGCAUAGGCAGCCACACUUGAAUUUUGCCAAGUAUGCAGAUAAUUCCAACUUGUAGUCAGGAUCAUCAGGUAAUAGCAUUAUAAGGGGAGCUGUACAGACUGUAUACUUUCUACAGUUUGUUGAAAUAGAAACAUUUAUAUGGAUACAUACAUCUGCAAAGGUUAGGGAGAAAACGGUAGCCCUGGCAGAGAAGAGCUAGUUAGUGUAUUUCAGGAUAGGGCCAAGGGAAGCUGUCAUUUCUCUACUAAGUCUCAUUGUGGAAAAGCCACAAAUGUCCCUAGUACAGUAAUAAGGAAAAAAAGGCUGAGCGUGGUGGCUCACACCUGUAGUCCCAGGACUUUCGGAAGGAUUGCUUGAGCCCAGGAGUUGCAGAUCGGCCAGGACAAUGUAAGAAAACCCCAUGUAUUAGAAAAAAAGAAUUAGCCAGGCGUGAUGGUGUGGGUCUAUAGUCUCAGCUUGGGAGGCUGAGGUGGCAGGAUCGCAUAUAGCCCAGGAGUUCGAGGCUGCAGUGAGCCAUGAUCGCAUCACUGCACCCUAGUCUGGGCAACAGAGUCUCUAAAAAGGAAAAAAAAAAAAAAAGUUAAAUCGCUGUUUAAUUAUGUGCCAAUUUAUUUUGGUAUUUUGAGAAUCUGGUAAAUUAGGAAUUCAAAAAUAGUUUUAACACUUUUUACUUCAAAGAAAAUCACAGUGCAAGCAAUCUGAGUGGAUUCAUCAAAAGUUAUACAUGAAUAUUCUGCAGAGUCUGGUGUUGCUGAAAGUUUUGAUUUGUGUUCUGCUGAGACACAACCAUGAAAAUAUGCACUUGCUUGUAUUCCGAAGAGGAUAGUUCCAGUGAGACUUGGACAAUGAGCAGAAAAAAUUUUUUUUUGAGACGAGGUGUCGCUGUGUCGCCCAGGCUGGAGUGCAGCGGCGCGAUAUCUGCUCACUGCAACCUCUGCCUCCUGGGUUCAAGCGAUUCUCAUGCCUCAGCCUCCCAAGUAGCUGGGACUACAGGUGCCCGCCACCACACCCGGCUAAUUUUUUGUAUUUUUUUUUUUUUAGUAGAGACGGGGUUUCGCAGUGUUAGCCAGGAUGGUCUCGAUCUCCUGACCUCGUGAUCCACCCGCCUCGGCCUUCCAAAGUGCUGGGAUUACAGGUGUGAGCCAUUGUGCCCAGCUCAGAAAAUUUAAUAGUACUAGAUCUCGUGUGUGUGUGUGUGUGUGUGUGCGCGCGCUUAGGUUGAAGGUGGAAUUUAACAUUGAUUUAAAAAAAAUAAUAGUAGGAAAAAAUAAAUGCGGUUUGAGUCCAAAGCAGCAUUUUUCACUAAUUUUAUGAAGGAAGUCCUUUUGAGUAAUGUCUUAAAUUAGGAAAAUGGCGUACUUUUACAUGUUAGACAUUAAACUCUAGGGCAGAUAACCAUGCCCUGUGUGUUGUGUAUCAAGCUUAGCAUAUACAUAGGAAAAGAUGUAUUGUGAGAGUGUCUUACAUUUCGUUGGUUUGGUCAUAAAGUUUAUAGAAAAUGCUUGUUUUAUAGUUGGUUGUUAUUGAGAUGAGAGUCCCUCAAGGAACUCCCUAUGCUUUAGGGAGCUUUUUGUUUUAAACCUACUGGUUAGACUUGUGGGUUUUAAUGUUUUCAGCUGUGGUUGUAAGAAACACAUUUUAAAUUGCACCUAGUAUAGACAUACAUGUAAAACAAACAAAAUUUUUACGAAGUAGUACUUGUAUUAAGAGUGAUGUACUCUGCUAUCUUCUAUUUCAUUUUUUUAAAGUUGAUAUUGCUGCCUUAAAUUGAUUUUUUCAACCACUAAUGAGUCAGGACCCACUAUUUAAAAAAUACUGGUGUGUUCUCUUGCUGUUACGAAUUAACCCAAAACUUAGUGGUUUAAAGCAAUAAACUUGUGUUUAUCUCAUGUAGGUUCUGUGGGUCAGGAAUCUGGGAGUAGCUUACUUAGGUGGUUCUGGGUCAGGGUUUUUCAUGAGGUUCCAAGGUGGCUCUCAUUUGGCAAGUCAGCUAUGGCUGAUGGUGGAAGUUCUUCAUUGGACUGCUUGAGUGUCCUCAAGCAGUGGCGAAGGCUAGCUACCCGCAGAGUAGGUGAUUCAAGCAAGAGCAGAGAGGAGGCCACACACCAUCACUUCUGCCAUAUUCUAUUAAAAAGAAGUCACUUAAGUCCAGCCCAAACUCAGGGGAUGAGUAUCAAAGAAUUAUGGACAUAGUUUAAUAGCUGCCACAUUUAUAUGUUUUUCCACUUUAUAUUUUAUUUAUUUAUUUAUUUAGAGAUGGAGUCUUGCUCUGUCGCCCAGGCUGGAGUGCAGUGGCGUCAUCUCAGCUCACUGCAGCCUCUGCCUCCCGGGUUCAAGUGAUUGUCCUGCCUCAGCCUCCCUAGUAGCUGGAAUUAUAGGUGCCCCCUACCACGUCCGGCUAAUUUUGUAUUUUUAGUAGAGAUGGGGUUUCACUAUAUUGGCCAGGCUGGUCUCGAACUCUUGAACUCAGGUGAUCCACCUGCCUCAGCCUCCCAAAGUGCUGGGAUUUCAGGCAUGAGCCACCACCCUGGCCUGUUUUUCCAUUUUAAAGAUGAGUUAGGAUUGCACCAAAAGCCAUGCUGAAAUCAACCUAUAAGUAAUUAUCUUAGUUAAUUAAGUCAGUUUUUUUCUCUGAGGGCAUCUAGUCACACUUCCUUCUCAGUCUUCAAUUUGAAAAAGCAGGCUCAAAGAAUUUAAGUAAUUAAGCAGCCCAAGGUCAUUCAGUCUAGGAAAACCUCACAAAUUUUCUCUGACCUUUGUCAUGAAUAACAUGUGAGCUGAUAAAGAUGAGAAAAUUAAGAAGUUACACUGUAGAACUGUUCGCCAGUCUUCUAGUUUGCAGACCUCCAUAUUAUAAUACACUUUAAAAUUCAGAUAAUGCUUGGUGUCUAGAUUCCUCAUACUAGCACCCCUCCUGUUCAUUUUUAGAGGAAACAGGAAAUGUACUUAUUAAAUGAAUUCAAACUACUUUGAAUAGACCAUUCCAGAUGCUGCCUGUAUACUCACUAUGAGAUGUACUGUGCAAACUAAUUCCAAUUAGCACAUUUUGAGAACCCAAAAGGAUGUUGUGACUUAAAGAUGAUGAGAAUUUAAGUGUAAAGAAGACUACACUUCUUUAUGCUGUGAAAUUUUCAUAGAAAUUUUGGAUCUGGAAGGAUUUUGUUCUAAGACUAGUUUUAGCUUAGUGAUAAAAGGAAUAGGAUGACAUUGGUAGUGAGCGAAGGCAGGAUAAAUUUCUAAAGACUUCCUUAAAAAUUUUUUUAAUCCAUUAGGCUUUUCUAAAUUAUAGGUUGGGAUACAAUAAGUUAUCUUACACCUUUGCUUCACGGAAUGGGCUAAUGGCUACUUUUUUUUUUUUUUUUUUUUUUUUUUUUGAGAUGGAGUCUUACUCCCAUCUCACAGGCUGGAGUGUAGUGGCACAAUCUUGGCUUACUGCAACCUCCACCUCCCGGGUUCAAGUGAUUCUCCUUCCUCAGCCUCCUGAGUAGCUGGGAUUAUAGGCGUGCACCACCACACCCGGCUAAUUUUUGUAUUUUUAGUAGAGAUGGGGUUUCACCAUGUUGGCCAGGCUGGUCUCGAACUCCUGACCUCAGGUGUGCCACCUGCCUUGGCCUCCCAAAGUGCUAGGAUUACAGGCAUGAGCCACUGCGCCUGGCCGGAUAAUGGCUACUUAAAUCAUUUUUCAGUUUUCCCUUACCACUAUGAUUCCUGACUGUUUCUAUUCUGACCUAAAGUACUGUUUGUACACAAUUAAUUUUGAUUACCCUUUUUGCUUGUUACUUGUCUCCCUAUAUCUUGUAUCUCUCACUCUCACUGUAAGCUCCCUGAGGGCAGGUACUUCUUUUUAUGUACACUCCUGGUACUCAAUUGCUUGCAGAAUUGAGUUGAAUUUGUAGUUAAAGGAUCUAAGAUGAUCAUUUUCCCACUCGAACUGAGUGAAAAAGGUGUUUAUUGUUGCAGAAAACAUCUGCGUAUAGGUAUUGGAUGCUAGUGGUGCAUAUAUGAAUACCUAUCUCUGCUCUUCAGGUGGUCACAGUCCACUGGGGGAGAAAAACACAGAUACUUAGUACAAUUUAUUCUAUACUGCAGAUGUGCAGAGUGCUGUGGGUAUGUAGAUAACUUUAAGCUGAAUCUUGGUCGGUGAGCAGGUGUUCAGAAGAUAGACUUAGUGGCCAAGUGCGGUGGCUCACGCCUGUAACCCCAGCACUUUGGGAGGCCGAGGCGGGUGGAUCACUUGAGGUAAGGAGAUCGAGACCAUCCUGGCCAACAUGGUGAAACCCCGUCUCUACUAAAAAUACAAAAAUUAGCUGGGCGUGGUGGUGCAUGCCUGUAAUCCCAGCUACUCGGGAGGCUGAGGCAGGAGAAGCGUUUGAACCAGGGAGUUGGAGGGUUGCAGUGAGCCGAGAUGUUGCCACUGCACUCUAGCCUGGUGACAGAGCGAGGCUCUGUAUCAAAAAAAAAAAAAAAAAAAAAGAUAGACUUAGUUUUGUGAUGUGCUUUGGGGGUGGUGCAUUUCUUAGCUUCAUUCCUUUACUAUACAUCUCCCUUGAAUUAUUUUCCUUUUAUCGUUGGUGAGUUACCAUCAUAAUUUAAUAAAUUGUUUCCUUCUGUGACAUGUACAUUCUUGUCACAUCAUUUCUCUAGAACUGUGCUGUCCAGUUCAACUCAGUGUCACACUAGCCAUGUGUGCUGAGUAGCCACCUGUGGCUAGAGGCUACCAUAUUUGGGCAGCACAGAUAAUAUAAAACAUUUCUAUUAUUGGAGAAAGUUCAGUUGGACAUCACUGCUCUAGAAUCAUGUUUUGCUUCUCCCUAUUUUCACGUUAUCAAUAGUGUAUUGAGUUCAGAAUAGAAUUAGGAAACAAUAGCCUCCUGAUAUUGUCAUUGGGAGGGAUAGAGUGGUUGAUAUUUAUGAACAGAGGGGGGAGAGUGUAGUGUUUGGUAGUGGUUGAGAAUAUAGCCUUUGGAAUCAGAUCUGGGUUGGAAUUAUGGUCCGUCCCUUACACACUGUAUGGCUUCGGGCAUGUUACUGAACCUCUGAGCCUCAAGUUUUCCUUCUCAAAUAGGGUUAAUAGUAAUUAUCUCAUAACAUUGGGUGAACAUAAAAACAGGAGGGGGGCCGUAGCACAGUACCUCAGUAAAUGAUAAAAUCGGUAUAUUUUUGAAAUCAUCACUGAUUUAAAAAAAAACCUUAGAAUUAUGUAGUAAAAGUGACUUUUUUUUUUCAGUAUACCGUUCUGUGAUUUUUAACAUAGUAUUUAUUUGUUGUAAUCACCAACACGAGAAUAUAGGCCAGGUCUAUCACUUUAUUUUGCUGUCUUUAUAGACCUGUGCUGUUUCCACCCCUAACCCCUGGCUGUCACCGAUCUGUUGUCCAUCACUAUAGUUUUACCUUUUCUAGGAUGUUACAUAAAUGGAAUUACACAGUAUGUCGCCUUUGCACACUGGCUUCCUUUACCCAGCCAGAUUGGGUUGAGAGCGAUUUGUCCAAGUUGUUACAUCUAUCAGUCGUUGAAAACUGAUCUUUAAAGACAUUUUAAUUUUGAAUCAUUAUUUCCUAAACGUGAAUCUGAAUUCCUUAACAGUUCUUCAAGUAGUGUUUGGCUCAGGAUUUUUGUGUUUAAAAGUAAAAUAAAUGGUAAAAUAUAUAGGGAAAAAUUACUGCUUCCACCUGAUUGGUAAAAACCAUGUGUGACAUUAACAUGCUUUUCUUUAGGGAAGGUUCUUGUUUUUAGUAGUUGAUCCAUAUUAAAGCUCUGUAGAGUUGCCACAAAGUCCAGAGUUGAAAAAGGUGGCUGUUAAAAUAUCAGUUUCUAAAAUGUGGCCGAAGAUAGCGUGACCAGUCCUGGUUUGCCCAGGACUUUGCCAGUAUUAGCAGUGAAAGUCUGGCCGCUCUCAGGAAACCCCUUGGUCCCAGUCAAACCCAGAAUGGGACCAAGCGCCGUGGCUCAUUCCUGUAAUCCCAGCACUUUGGAAGGCUGAAGUGGGCAGAUCACGAGGUCAGGAGUUUGAGAACAGCCUGGCCAAAAUGGUGAAACCCCGUCUCUAAUAAUAGCCUGACAUGGUGAUGCACGCCUGUAAUCCCAGCUGCUUGGGAGGCUGAGGCAGGAGAAUCGCUUGAACCCAGGAGGUAGAGCUUGCAGUGAGCCAAGAUUGUGCCAAUGCACUGCAGCCUGGGUGACAGACUGAGACUGUGUCUGAAAAACAAACAAACAAACAAAACCCCAGAAUGGUUGGUCACCCUAUCUGAAAAGAGACACACAAAAUCAGAGGAUUCCAGUUCAUCAGGUUUCAGUAGUGAACCAUCGGCCAAGUAUUUCAUCUAAUCUUAAUUGCCUUUGGGUGCUUAGAGUCAAAUCUCUAAGGUAACCAGAACCCAAACCACAUGAGGUUUUUUAGAUUAAGAUCAGCACCUUGAAUUUAAGGUUUUGUGGCUAGAGGUUUAGAUUUGAUUGGAAUUACAUCGUUAAUUUUUGUUAAAUUGUUGAAUAAGCAACUUCCCAAGCCUUGUGUGUAGAAGCUAGAUUAAAAGUCAAGUUUCUACUUAACCAGAAUCUCUGUUUUGAGUUUUUAAAUUCAACUGGUGAUGUCUAAAUCUUAAGGAUAUUGUAAGUUCCUUAACUAGUCUGUUCCAUUUUCCUGAGUUUUCACAUCACCUCUCUACCUCUUGUGUAGAUUUUAUUUUUUAUUUUGAAACGGAUUUUCGCUCUUGUUGCCCAGGCUGGAGUGCAGUGGCACCAUCUCGGCUCCGCAACCUCUGCCUCCUGGGUUCAAGCGAUUCUCCUCCCUCAGCCUCCUGAGUAGCUGGGUUUACAGGCACAUGCCAGCGCACCUGGCUAAUUUAGUAUUUUUAGUAGAGACGGGGUUUCUCCAUGUUGGUCAGGCUGGUCUCAAUUUCCGGACCUCAGGUGAUUUACCCGCCUCUGCCUCCCAAAGUGCUGGAAUUACAGGCAUAAGCCACCACGCCCAGCCCUAGAUUUCUUUAUAGAGCAUCUGUCUAUAAGCAGAUUACUUAGUUUUCCUGAUGUCUUCGUUGGAAUGUAAGCUUUGUGAAAGCCAGGGGCCCUAUGUGUCAUCUUUACCACUAUGUCUUAGAUCUUAGAGCAGCCCAUCAUAAGUUCUAAUAAGUAAUUGUGGAAUUGGAUGAGAAAAUGAAUAUGAGUCAGUUUUACAAUGCUGCAUGCUUCCCAGAUUAUUUUAACAGUCUAGGGGAUGUGGAAAGAUUUUGUUUUAAAAACGUUUAAAAGUCCACGUUUUGUUUGAUAUUGUUCAGAGGAAGUGAAAAUGUGGUCUUUAAAAAAUUUUGUUGCCCGGGUGUGGUGACUCACGCCUGUAAUCCCAGCACUUUGGGAGGCUGAGGCGGGUGGAUCACCUGAGGUCAGGAGUUCAAGACCAGCCUGGCCAACAUAGUGAAACCCCGCCUCUACUAAAAAUAUCAAAAAUUAGCUGGGCAUGGGGGUGGGCACCUGUAAUCCCAGCUGCUCGGGAGGCUGAGGCAGGAGAAUCGCUUGAACCCGGGAGGCGGAGGUUGCAGUGAGCGGAGAUCGCGCCAUUGCACUCCAGCCUGGGCCACAGAGCAAAACUCUGUCUUAAAAAAAAAAAAAAAAGGCUGGGCGCGGUGGCUCACGCCUGUAAUCCUAGCACUUUGGGAGGCCGAGGUGGGCAGAUCACGAGGUCAGGAGAUCGAGACCAUCCUGGCUAACACGGUGAAACCCCGUCUCUACUAAAAAUACAAAAAAUUAGCUGGGUGUGGUGGCAGGCACCUGUAAUCCCAGCUACUCGGGAGGCUGAGGCAGGAGAAUGGCGUGAACCUGGGAGGCAGGCGGAGCUUGCAGUGAGCCGAGAUCGUGCCACUGCACUCCAGCCUGGGUGAAAGUGUGAGACUCUCAAAAAAAAAAAUUGUUUCAUUAACCCUCUAUGAGGGAAGGGAAUUUAGAAUGGUGACAUUAAACCUUCCUUUAAAAUGGCAAUUCAGAACCAGUGGAGAGAGCUGAAAGUGAGAGUAGAUUUGGAUUUGGAAAAAUUCCCUCUACUUCUCAUACACAUCACCUUCUCCCAACACAGGCACUUUGUAAAGGCAUAGAGCAGGGUCUGAGGAGAUUGGGUUGGUGAAAGAGAGAACUGAGUCACUUGAGAUUAGUACUUGGUAAGCAAGAGAGUGCUAAUGAAUUAUUUAAAAUCUGUGUAACCUGAGUGUAAACCAAUACAUAGACUAAGUUAGUGCUUCUCAGAGCUUAGGGAGCAUAGGAGUCUCCUGGAGAAUUAGAAGAAACAGAUUUUCCUAGCUCCGGCCCCAGACGUUCUGAUUUAGUGUGGUGUAGAACUCAGGAGUUAGUAAUAUUAAUGGACAGUCUUGAGUAUUUGCUGAUGCAACUGGUCUGAGGACCAUACUUUGGAAGACCUGCUUUAGAUAGUAGACAGGACAGUAAUUUAAAAUAGGCAAAUAUGGUUUAUUUUUAAAAUGGUAAAACUAGAAAGAUACUGAUUUUAUGUGUUUAAAAAAAAAAGUCUGCAUCUGACUGCUAUGGUUAUCCAAGAAGGCACCCCAGAAUACCUGUUGGCCACCGCUGUUUGGUAUAUGCAAAAAUGUGUAGUUUUUAAAAGAGUCUUUUUGGGCUUGCACUGAGGAGCCACCCUAUUUUAUACAGUCAAAAUAUUGCUAUAUUUAAGUUAACCAUUCUGUUCCAGUGCAGGAUUCAGUAACAUCUAUUCUGUAAGUUUCAGUUGUGAUAUUUCUUAAAGAUUCAAAGAUGGAUCCUGGGAAUUUGAUUUAGCCUCCAUUUCAUCUGGGAGUUAAUCCUCACAGCAACCCUGUGAGAUAGGUUAAUAAUUAAACCCUCCUAUUCACACAUAUUUCAUUAAUCCUUACAGCAACCUGAGAGAUAGUUUAAUAAUUAAACCUACUCCACAGAUGAGGAAACUGAGGCCCAAGAGGUUCAGUGAUUCGCCCAAGGUUAUAACAGCAAGAAUUGGUGGUGAAACAAGAAUUCAAAUCCAGAUUGGUCUUAAUAGUGAGCUCUCAUGUGUGAUAGAAAUUAGAUACCACUUUGAGGACUUUGGGAGCCAGUGGUGAAUGUACUUACUUUAGGCUCUAAAUACUCUGUGUAAUUUCUUGGUCAUUUUGUUCUUAGAGAGGUGGUGAUCUUAAUAAAGUUUUGACUUUAUUAAGUAAUUAAAAGUUUUUACUUAUGUUACAACUAAAACAAUUCUUUAAAACUUUCAUAACUUGAAGUUUUAAAUCCUAAAAUUAGUUGAAAAAGAUGUAAUUGCCAGUGUAUCGUAAAUACUGGUAUUUUAAAAUAAAGCUGCUUUAUCACUUUUAAGGAAAGCCCUUGUAAUUUAGUGCAUUGUAAUAGUGUAUUGAGCUGAUGUCCACCAUGAUCCAUGUAAACAUAGGUGAACUAUGCAAAUACAAGUUUUUCUUCUUGAAAAUGUUACAUUUCCUCUACAACACUUUAUGCUAAUAAAUGUUUAUGAACCUCUUUUGAUGAUCCUUUCAUUUCUUGUAAAUUUUUGUAUAUAACUUGAAAUGUUUAAUUUGCUGUAAUCAUAAGGCAUCAAAUGUUCAUGGUUUUUUUCUGGACUAUUUUCACAUUGUUAGUACUGAUUAGUUGACCAAAACAGCAAAUUGCAUACAUUGAUACUUGCAGUAAAAUUUCACUGGAAUUGUACCUCCUAAAAAAAAUGGGAGAAAACAUAAUGGCUUCAAUUAAAGGAGGCUGCAUUUACCAAUCUUCCAAAUUGUCCUUUUUUGUUUUUGUGGCUUCCCAAAAGUGUUGACAAAUAGGUUUAAUGUAUUUAAAGGUUAUUGAAUGUAGUGGACCAAACUAUUGAGGAUAGGUGAGAGACGCCGCUUCUGUAAGUGUGAUAAGGGAAGAUGGGAAGAGCAGGAUACACUGCAGGUGUGCACACAGGUAUGUUGAUUUUAUGAAAAUUGGAACUUGAUCUAGGAAGCAAUUUUUAAAGUUAUUUUGAGACAGGGUUGCUGGCCUCAAGCAGUGCUCCCACCCUGACCUCCCAAAGUGCUGGGAUUACAGGCGUGAGCCACCAUGCACAUCCUAAAAAGCAAUUCUUGGACUAUCUGUGCCUAUAUGCUCCUUGGAGAGUUUUUGUGGGUACCCUUGGCAUACAGGUAGGUACCUCAAAUGGAAGACAGCUACUGAAGAACUCUCGCUGGAAGACAUCAGAUGUUUAUCCUAGCACUGUUAACUGCAGAUAAAUAUGUCCAUCAGUUAGUACAGAUGAAUGUAUUCUCUUGGUAUAAUACUGUGUAGCAGUUAAGUGAGUUGCAAAACGAAAGGAUAUGUGUGAAAAAAAAGUUGACAGGUGAGGACUAUAGUGGGGCAUCGGGUUAUGCAUAAAAGUAAGGCAAUGAAGGUAAAGAUUUGAUUUUUAAAUGUUGUCAACCCAAGGAGGUAAAUAUGUAGAUGUUAAAUUCUUUGUGCUUGGUAUUUUUUAAAUUUCCCCAAAAUAUCUCUGGAACAAACAUCUGUGGGAAGAAUAUUGUGACUAACUUGGUGAAAGGACAAAGUAUUAAUAAAAGGUGCCGGUGAACAGCCAUACUCAAAUCAUGCCAUCGAAAAUAGGUAUUUAAGAUUUCAUUUCUGCCACCAGAAGCCUGUCUUGUUAUUGUAUAUAUUGAUUUCUCUCUUUUUUUUUUUUUUUUUUUUUUUUGAGACGGGAGUCUUUCUCUGAUGCCCAGGCUGGAGUGCAGUGGCAUGUAGAGACGGGAUUUCACCGUGUAAUGUUAGCCAGGAUGGUCUCGAUCUCCUGACCUUGUGAUCCACUCGCCUCGGCCUCCCAAAGUGGGAUUACAGGCGUGAGCCACCGCGCCCGGCCUGUAUAUAUUGAUUUAAACACUUCAGUUCCUGUAUGAUUCUCUUAGCCAGGGCCAUGAUGGGAUUCCCUGGGGAUAGGUUAAGUUGUGGUGUCUAAAACCUAAGUCCUGUGACUUUAAGAAGUAUCUGCCAAGAUUUGCCAAGAUUUCCUAGAUGCUAGUUUUCCAAAGUUCUUAACUGAAAUAUUUACCUUUUGAAUUGUCAGUGAUGUAGAUACAAACACUAGAUUCUUCAUAAUUUUAUUCACACGAUAUACUGGGCUGAAAAAGAUAAUUUCUUGAUUAAAAAAACACCUAUUAAAUGAUCACCCAGUAG